Long non-coding RNA from Varanus komodoensis (Komodo dragon), 1168 nucleotides. RefSeq lists it as uncharacterized. The record is from RefSeq and is a predicted model, not a curated record. The transcript has 5 exons. Lineage: Eukaryota; Metazoa; Chordata; Lepidosauria; Squamata; Varanidae.
AGUUUUCAGAGUAUAGCACCAGAAAUAAUUGCAACAAACCAAACAACAACUCAUGGCAGUGAAAAAAUUACAAUCAUCGGCAAACAUCUCAGAUAUAGAAUCCUGUCUCAGCUCCUUUAAUUCUCACUCGGCUCCCAAAUGUGUCGGUCUCCACGAUGAGCUUGGCUGGAGAGGAAAAAGAGGAUGGCAAAAGAAGUCUGUGAAUUUUACAAGAUGGACAGCACACCGUGUUGCAAGAGGAAAAGCAGUCUUCCAGAAUGAGCACUUUCUAAGGCAGCAAGAAUCACACAACAAAGAGCGUCCCUGCGGUAGCAUUCUGCAGUCAGGGUGUUCUGUGAGAUCAAGAGUCAUCCAUAUUUACAGCAACUGAAGACGCUGCACAGAGCUUGCUGCAUCAAGGUGACAGUGCUCAGCACUCUGUAUCUUCUCUAACUGUCAUCUGAGCACCUCAUGCAUGACAGAGCGUGGAACAAAAGCCACCAUUUUCAUUGGAGAAAGUGAUUGAGUUUGAUCCCCUAAUCAUGGAGAUACAGGAGAUAUGAGGUUUGAGGCCGCAGUUUAAAAUUAAAGUACUGUACAGCAUCUCCAAGUUGCACUCCAGCAUGACAGAAAAGCACCUCCUGCCACGUAUACUCCUUUCCACAAGGACUGUGAUGUCCUGGAUCAGGACAAGAGCCUUGGACCACAGAAUAUCCUUUUACUCCCCCCCCCACACACACACACACACUUUUUUUUUUACUUAACACGUAGUCUUAAUUUAGUGUCUCAACCCGUAUCUCAUGCCAUUGUUCAUGUAUUUUGUUGUUAGCAUAUGUAAAUCUUUUAAUGCAAGCCACUAGGAUGACUUGGUUAAAAGCAGGAGAAACAUAAUAAUAAAUGAAGUGACUUAUAUACACAAUUUUUCACAAAUUUAAGCUCAGUUGAUGGAUCGGACCAAGGGUACCUUGAAAUAUCCUAGGCAUCUCUUAAUGUCAGUGGCCUACCAGAGACUAGCUUGAGGUCCCACUCAGGCCCUCUAGGGCUCCUAAAAUUGCUAUGUCCCGUCCCCUGGCCAUAUCCCAUUUACCAUGGCAAUCAACUGUUUGGUAGCUUCCGGACUUCUGCAUGGUCCCACCCUUCAUUUUGACAGGCUGAAGUACCUCUUCCAAGGCAUUAGUAAUAAGAUCUU